Molecule: long non-coding RNA, 359 nt
Organism: Sarcophilus harrisii (Tasmanian devil)
Lineage: Eukaryota; Metazoa; Chordata; Mammalia; Dasyuromorphia; Dasyuridae
Exons: 3
Source: RefSeq, a predicted model, not a curated record
GGGAGUGGACAUGUGACUUUAUUUGCAUAAACAGGAAAUUCCCUUUAUCAGUGCAGCUGUCAGUAUAUGAACUAACUCAAGGAUCAUAAGAAAAAUGAGAGACACUCCGAAUCAGAGAAGUAAAUAAAAAUUGUCUCAAGGAUGUGCCUGUGAAAAAAGGAAUGGCACAGUAUGGAGAGAACAUGCAUUCCCUAAAUACUCUUAACAAUUUACCUCCACUCCAAAACAGAAGGCAAAGGUGGUGACAUAUUUGAGAUUAUGUUGCCUAUUUGCAUUCAGCUAAGGUUAUCAUCAAGGAGUUCAGUUUGAUCUGGUUUGAGCAGUGAUUUCCAAAGGUCCACUGUGUAAUUUCUCAUCUA